GACGAACGCUGGCGGCGUGCUUAACACAUGCAAGUCGAACGGUAAGGCCCCAGCUUGCUGGGGUACACGAGUGGCGAACGGGUGAGUAACACGUGGGUGACCUGCCCCGCACUUCGGGAUACGCCUGGGAAACUGGGUAUACUACCGGAUAGGACCGCACCGUGAGGGUGUGGUGGAAAGUUAUUCGGUGUGGGAUGGGCCCGCGGCCUAUCAGCUGGUUGGUGGGGUAAUGGCCUACCAAGGCGGCGACGGGUAGCAGGCCUGAGAGGGUGGACGGCCACAGUGGCACUGAGACACGGCCGAGACUCCUACGGGAGGCAGCAGUGGGGAAUAUUGCACAAUGGGCGGAAGCCUGAUGCAGCGACGCCGCGUGGGGGAUGACGGCCUUCGGGUUGUAAACUCCUUUCACCAUCGACGAAGGUUUUCUGACGGUAGAUGGAGAAGAAGCACCGGCUAACUACGUG
Molecule: ribosomal RNA, 464 nt
Filed under: uncultured bacterium
Lineage: Bacteria
Description: partial 16S ribosomal RNA
Rfam family: Bacterial small subunit ribosomal RNA
Source: RNAcentral